RNAcentral lists this non-coding RNA (121 nucleotides) under Halanaerobium saccharolyticum. Its description in RNAcentral is "FMN sequence". It matches the Rfam family "FMN riboswitch aptamer (RFN element)". From Rfam's summary of the family: The RFN element is a highly conserved domain that is found frequently in the 5'-untranslated regions of prokaryotic mRNAs that encode for flavin mononucleotide (FMN) biosynthesis and transport proteins. This element is a metabolite-dependent riboswitch that directly binds FMN in the absence of proteins. In Bacillus subtilis, the riboswitch most likely controls gene expression by causing premature transcription termination within the 5' untranslated region of the ribDEAHT operon and precluding access to the ribosome-binding site of ypaA mRNA. RNAcentral also lists the same sequence under 1 other name. The record is from RNAcentral. Lineage: Bacteria; Bacillati; Bacillota; Clostridia; Halanaerobiales; Halanaerobiaceae.
UAUUAUCUUCAGGGUAAGGUGAGUUUUAAGCAAUUCCUAACCGGUGGUAUAGUCCACGAGCUUCAGCUGAACUGGUGAAAUUCCAGUACCGACGGUAAAGUCCGGAAUAAAGAAGAUUAAA